CUUCCACUGAACUGGGAGCUAAUCUGGUGUGCACAUGAUCACAUUUGGCUUCUUAUGAAAGUUAAUUGCCCCAUCAUUCACUUCCCACAUCUGAACAUGGUGACUGAAGGCGGUAUAGGGAGUUUCAAGGCUGCAGCUUUCCUGCGUCAUCACUCACACUGCUGACUAGCAGUGAUCUACGCAUCUGUUUUCUCUGUGUAUAACAGCUCUGGCUGUCCUGAAACUUGAUUUGUAC
This is a long non-coding RNA of Microtus oregoni (creeping vole), 235 nucleotides long. RefSeq lists it as uncharacterized. The transcript has 3 exons. NCBI's taxonomy places the organism in Eukaryota, Metazoa, Chordata, Mammalia, Rodentia, Cricetidae. The record is from RefSeq and is a predicted model, not a curated record.